UGAGCAACCUGCCCCUGGCUCUGGGAUAACUCCGGGAAACCGGAGCUAAUACCGGAUACGAGACCGAUUGGCAUCUUUACGGUCUGGAAAGUUUUUCGGCCAGGGAUGGGCUCGCGGCCUAUCAGCUUGUUGGUGGGGUGAUGGCCUACCAAGGCGACGACGGGUAGCCGGCCUGAGAGGGCGACCGGCCACACUGGGACUGAGACACGGCCCAGACUCCUACGGGAGGCA
RNAcentral lists this ribosomal RNA (231 nucleotides) under uncultured bacterium. RNAcentral's name for it is "partial 16S ribosomal RNA". It matches the Rfam family "Bacterial small subunit ribosomal RNA", at positions 118 to 350 of the family's 1533-position model. The record is from RNAcentral.